RNAcentral lists this ribosomal RNA (331 nucleotides) under uncultured bacterium. Its description in RNAcentral is "bacterial SSU rRNA". It matches the Rfam family "Bacterial small subunit ribosomal RNA", at positions 568 to 898 of the family's 1533-position model. The record is from RNAcentral.
CGCGUAGGCGGUUCGUACAGUCAGACGUGAAAUUCCCGGGCUCAACCUGGGGGCUGCGUUUGAUACGUACGGGCUUGAGUUUGGAAGAGGGUCGUGGAAUUCCCAGUGUAGAGGUGAAAUUCGUAGAUAUUGGGAAGAACACCGGUGGCGAAGGCGGCGACCUGGUCCGAUACUGACGCUGAGGCGCGAAAGCGUGGGGAGCAAACAGGAUUAGAUACCCUGGUAGUCCACGCCGUAAACGAUGUGUGCUGGAUGUUGGGCAGUCUGACUGUUCAGUGUCGUAGCUAACGCGAUAAGCACACCGCCUGGGGAGUACGGCCGCAAGGUUGAA